RNAcentral lists this ribosomal RNA (497 nucleotides) under uncultured bacterium. Its description in RNAcentral is "partial 16S ribosomal RNA". It matches the Rfam family "Bacterial small subunit ribosomal RNA", at positions 28 to 507 of the family's 1533-position model. The record is from RNAcentral.
GAUGAACGCUGGCGGCGUGCCUAAUACAUGCAAGUCGAGCGAACAGACGAGGGGCUUGCUCCUCUGACGUUAGCGGCGGACGGGUGAGUAACACGUGGAUAGCCUACCUAUAAGACUGGGAUAACUUCGGGAAACCGGAGCUAAUACCGGAUAAUAUAUUGAACCGCAUGGUUCAAUAGUGAAAGACGGUUUUGCUGUCACUUAUAGAUGGAUCCGCGCCGCAUUAGCUAGUUGGUAAGGUAACGGCUUACCAAGGCGACGAUGCGUAGCCGACCUGAGAGGGUGAUCGGCCACACUGGAACUGAGACACGGUCCAGACUCCUACGGGAGGCAGCAGUAGGGAAUCUUCCGCAAUGGGCGAAAGCCUGACGGAGCAACGCCGCGUGAGUGAUGAAGGUCUUCGGAUCGUAAAACUCUGUUAUUAGGGAAGAACAAAUGUGUAAGUAACUAUGCACGUCUUGACGGUACCUAAUCAGAAAGCCACGGCUAACUACGUG